RNAcentral lists this ribosomal RNA (193 nucleotides) under uncultured bacterium. RNAcentral describes it as "partial 16S ribosomal RNA". It matches the Rfam family "Bacterial small subunit ribosomal RNA", at positions 336 to 526 of the family's 1533-position model. The record is from RNAcentral.
CUCCUACGGGAGACAGCAGUAAGGAAUAUUGGUCAAUGGACGCAAGUCUGAACCAGCCAUGCCGCGUGGAGGAUGAAGGCCCUCUGGGUUGUAAACUUCUUUUAUUGGGGUAAGAAACCCAUCUUUUCUAAGGUGGUUGACGGUACCCGAUGAAUAAGCACCGGCUAACUCCGUGCCAGCCGCCGCGGAAUAC